Mytilus trossulus (common blue mussel) is the source of this 484-nucleotide long non-coding RNA. RefSeq lists it as uncharacterized. The record is from RefSeq and is a predicted model, not a curated record. Lineage: Eukaryota; Metazoa; Mollusca; Bivalvia; Mytilida; Mytilidae. The transcript has 3 exons.
UGAAAGGAGUUGAAAAUACAGCUACUUCAAAAAACUGGAGACAAGGGGGUUGCAGCUAUGGUUGCCCCCAGGUAUAAACAGGGGCCGAGGAAGAUACCAAAACAACAAUUAUGGCCAAAGAGGCACGAGAAACUCCCGCUACAGAGGGAGAGCUGGUUACAGAAACCAAAGAGGCAGGAGAUAUAAGAGUAUCAUAGCAAGAAUUUUGAACAAGGUAGAAGAGGAACAGGAGUUCCAUUCUUUACAGAAACCGGUUACAUUGUGGAUUGACCAGAGCUGUCGAUUUUUCCAGGAUUGUGUUGUGUUGGAUAUAUGAAUGAACUUUAUGGACUUUGUGUCAUGAUGGAAAUGUGAAUAAUUUGAUAAUGUUGAUGGAAAGAAGAACUUUCAUUUUCGUGAUUAUGAUAAAGACGAUUAUAGAAAGUUUUGUAUUAUUGAAAUAUUUUAUGACAGCAUUAAAUGUGGAUGUUUCAAAUCUUAUAUU